CCCCUAGACGUUCUGGGCUGCACGCGCGCUACAAUAAUACGCACAGCGAGUGUCACCGAGCUCGAAAGGGCAAGGUAAACAAUAGAAAAGGUACUGUAAUGGUUAUAGAUCCUUGUAAUUAUUGAUCUUCAACGAGGAAUUCCUAGUAAGUAUGUGUCAUCAUCACGCACUGAUUACGUCCCUGCCCUUUGUACACACCGCCCGUCGCUCCUACCGAUUGGGUGAGCCGAUGAAACUCUCGGAUGUAGGCUAUUCAUAGCCCGCAGAAGAGAUUUGAAUCGUAGCGCUUAGAGGAAGGAGAAGUCGUAACA
Molecule: ribosomal RNA, 311 nt
Filed under: uncultured eukaryote
Lineage: Eukaryota
Description: partial 18S ribosomal RNA
Rfam family: Eukaryotic small subunit ribosomal RNA
Source: RNAcentral